UAAAUCUAAACGUGAACGUAAUUUGCGAC
Molecule: small RNA, 29 nt
Filed under: Bombyx mori (domestic silkworm)
Lineage: Eukaryota; Metazoa; Arthropoda; Insecta; Lepidoptera; Bombycidae
Description: ovarian small RNA-5606
Source: RNAcentral